This 303-nucleotide ribosomal RNA is filed under the name uncultured bacterium. RNAcentral's name for it is "partial 16S ribosomal RNA". It matches the Rfam family "Bacterial small subunit ribosomal RNA", at positions 507 to 809 of the family's 1533-position model. The record is from RNAcentral.
AGCAGUCGCCGCGGUAAUACGGAGGGUGCAAGCGUUAAUCGGAAUUACUGGGCGUAAAGCGCACGCAGGCGGUCUGUCAAGUCAGAUGUGAAAUCCCCGGGCUUAACCUGGGAACUGCAUUUGAAACUGGCAGGCUAGAGUCUUGUAGAGGGGGGUAGAAUUCCAGGUGUAGCGGUGAAAUGCGUAGAGAUCUGGAGGAAUACCGGUGGCGAAGGCGGCCCCCUGGACAAAGACUGACGCUCAGGUGCGAAAGCGUGGGGAGCAAACAGGAUUAGAUACCCGAGUAGUCCCUGUCUCUUAUCA